UUCAAUAUUAUGCACACUAAUAAUUCAAUAUUACAUCUAAACAGUUUAUUUUGUUUAUCUUAAUUUGCAUAAUUUCGUAAACGACGUAUGUAUACACCGAUUAAAUCACCUGGUUGUCUGCACAAUCUUUCGAAUUAUUAGGACACGUAAACGCCUUAAUCAGAGUUACAGAGCUAUAUUUGAGUUCGGAAAAACUGAAAGUAUCCAUUUUAGAAAUAGUUUUCAUAUACAAACUUUAUAUGUCCGAAAUCGUCUUCACAAAAAUAACAUGGUCACUUUGGUAGAACGUGUCUUUUGAUUGGCGGUUUUCUGCAUAUCAGAUGUGUCCAUGUAAACAUAAUUAAUAGGGAAGUCGUUGCAAAGGAUGUAAUCGAACCAUAAUCUGCACCCCAAACAAUCAUGUGCAUGGAAUAUAUGUUUGAUUUUAGACGAUCAAAAAUGAAAUGAAUGCAAAUAACUACAGUUCAAAUAAAAUACAACUGACUGAAAUUACUGUCUUUUGACCAUUUAGAUCAGCUCUGAAAAAGAUCUGAUAAAAUACCAAUUAGUGGGGGGAAAAGAAUAGAAUUGGGGCUGCCUGUCUAAACGUAGCCAUGGAGCAAUACAAUUCGAAAGGGUGGCAUUAGGACCCCUACACGAACUGUGCUCGGUAAACUCUUCUACAAGCAUGUGAUCAUGUGUCAGCAAGCCACUCAAAGCAGUCAGAACCCCCUUAUAAUCAGAACAGAGACCAACUGAAAGGCUCCCCACCACCAUAUCAACAUGGAUUGCGGAAUUAUUACAUCGAAAAUGGUCAUUUUGUUUCUAAGUUUAAUAUUUUGGGCUGCGGGGGGUGCCCUUGUCUACGUAGGCUCUUAUGUCAUCAAGAGCUACAGCAACUUUGACAACUUCCUGCAGGAUAAGUACACGUUCAUCCCAGCAGGCAUCAUCAUACCCACGGGAGUGGUGAUGUUCAUCAUCGGGACUGUGGGGUGCUACGCCACCCUGAGUGAAUCCAAAGUGGGCCUUAGCUUUUUCCUGUUGAUUAUCCUGGCUAUCUUUGCAGCAGAGGUCACUGCUCUAGUUUAUGGGUUCAUCUACCAAAGCAAGAUAAAAGGGAACUUGGAGCGGUCAAUGAGUGCUGUGUUCAUGAAGUAUGAUGGUGAAAACUCUGACACCCAGGCUGUGGAUUACUUGCAGUCUCAGUUGCAGUGCUGUGGAGUGCAGACCUACCUGAACUGGACCACCACCCCCUGGUUCAGCAGCAUUAAGAACACUGUGCCCGUCUCCUGUUGUAAAGAGAACCACACCGAGUGUACAGGCAAACUGGACCAGCUAGACCUGCUCAAUACCCUGGGUUGUGAGGGUAUGCUGGAAAAGCUCCUUCAGGAUGUGAUGAGUUAUGCCAUGCUGGUCAUCCUUGGAUUUUCCACCUUCAAGGUACUGUACCUGGCUGUCCUCUGACUUAAUAAAUGAAAUGUUAUGUCGCAUUUCCAAUAUCAGACUUUGCACCGGUGUUUGGCCUAAAGCUGCAUGCUUUUGUGUUUCCACCUCUGAGGCCAGGCACAACCCCCUCCACCCCAGAAUUCUUGGGCUGUGAAUGUCUUGGGGCCAGAAUGGGGAUAGUGGGACUUCUUUGAGAUGUUUUUGGGUCGCUCAGUGUGUGCGUGAUCACAUGUAAAGUUGCCAGGCGAGAUGGCUACCAGUCCCUGAAUGCCUGAUGCUGUUGGCUUGAAGGAUACUUCUGAGGCUUGUCUUGCACGAUCUCCUUUGCCUUGACUCCUCUCCCCUUUCUCCAGCACUGAGACUAUAGAGCUUUAGGACUUAUGUUCCCCACUCCAAGAUUUUAGCAUCCUUUCAGGAACAUUCUUAGAGUUUUCAUUCAGCUUUCCUAUGUAGUUGUCAGCCCACCAGUGGGCAAACCAUUGUCAACAUUUGAAGCAUUGCAAACCACAAGAUGCCUUUUUUUUUUUUAAUUCUUUUUUUUAAGAUGUUUGCAUAUAGGAAUUACCACUCAAACUUUUAAACAAUGGAAGUUGGUUUUGUAAUUUCCUGCUGUGCAUACUGAAAAAAUAAGAAAGGGUUUGCUCAGUGACAUAUCAGUAUAUGGGGUACACUUCAUUUUGAAGAGGCAAUCUGGGACUCAAACAAUAACAAAGCGGCUGACCCCGCAGUUAUUUUGGUAAACAGCUGAUUGCUGGUGCUGGAGAAGUGUAACCAUUCUCAAAUUCAUAGACGGAUCUAUGGAUACAAAGACUUACCAUAUAUUAGAUCAAAAUGAAUGUUUUCCUUUUUUUUUUAAAGUGGGACAGUGUUUGUUUACAAUUGCAUUGUUUACAAACAAUGGAGUAAAAAGGCUUAUAUUUUGGAUUCUGAUGGGGUAAGACAGUUUAACUAAGCACAUGAGGCUUUUAAGUAUUAUUUUUCAAUAAUCAAUUGCUAUAUAUCAUUCAUUUAUUGACCAAAAAUGUAUGUGCCACUCCCAGAUGAACCCUUUUUUUAAGGUAUUGAAGUGUUAUGUUGAAAUGACCAAGGACUUUUUAAGACUUCAACACAUCAGGGUAGUAGGCUCUGUUUAAUCAAGACUGGAUUGUCUAGGAUAUACAGUAUUACAUUAUGAAAGAACUGUCAAGAUUAUUUGGUAAAUUAUUUGAUCAAUCUAAGGGACAGUUUGAAAUGUACGGGAGGGUGGGGUGGUGUCAUAAAGAAAAUGCCCCCCCCCAAAAGUAAAAAUAUUUUCAAAUGACCUUCCUCUUGUACUGUAAAAAAAACAUUGCACGCUCUCCCUACUCAUAGAGUUAACUCAAAAAUAAUGUUUAUGACCACAAAUAAUAGCUGUAGUGACCCUGUGUUUAUAAACGUGGAUAUUGACUUUGCCACUUCAGCAUGCUUUUGUGGCACUGUCGAUGCCACACAGGGCUACGGGCCAGAAGGUUGAGUGUUUGUCGGCCACCACGGACUAGCUCCCUGCCUGUUUCAUUAGGGCUUACACUAUGAUCGGAGCCGGCUGCAGACAGUGAGCAACAAGAGGACUCAGAUUUUUUACAUUUUGAUGCCAUAUUUCUCAUUAUAUAAAAUAUAUGGAAUGAAUUUUCCACCGACAGGUUUCUGUGCCAAUGCACCACACAACCAAUAAACAAUGCAUUCCGACUUUGGGCAUUCCGACUUCAACAUCACAAUAAAUAGACUGUCAAUCUCGACAAACAGGAAAUAAAUCCCUCCCUACCUUGUAGUCCUACGGAGUAUCAAAGACUUGGCUUGACAAUCUCAGAAUGUCAUUCAACAUUGUGGUGUUUUGUAACAUGUCUCUUUCCAUUCAUCAAUUGGCUGUUGCACAUUUUGGAUUCAUUGAUUUUAUUUGGCAGUAAAAAAGUGACCUGGGUUGCACAAUAAAGUCAGGGACUUAUUUCCAA
Molecule: RNA transcript, 3392 nt
Organism: Salmo salar (Atlantic salmon)
Lineage: Eukaryota; Metazoa; Chordata; Actinopteri; Salmoniformes; Salmonidae
Gene name: tetraspanin-36
Source: RefSeq, a predicted model, not a curated record